This 74-nucleotide transfer RNA is filed under the name Gammaproteobacteria bacterium. RNAcentral's name for it is "tRNA-Lys". It matches the Rfam family "tRNA". From Rfam's summary of the family: Transfer RNA (tRNA) molecules are approximately 80 nucleotides in length. Their secondary structure includes four short double-helical elements and three loops (D, anti-codon, and T loops). Further hydrogen bonds mediate the characteristic L-shaped molecular structure. tRNAs have two regions of fundamental functional importance: the anti-codon, which is responsible for specific mRNA codon recognition, and the 3' end, to which the tRNAs corresponding amino acid is attached (by aminoacyl-tRNA synthetases). tRNAs cope with the degeneracy of the genetic code in two manners: having more than one tRNA (with a specific anti-codon) for a particular amino acid; and 'wobble' base-pairing, i.e. permitting non-standard base-pairing at the 3rd anti-codon position. Lineage: Bacteria; Pseudomonadati; Pseudomonadota; Gammaproteobacteria. The record is from RNAcentral.
GGACUUGUAGCUUAGCACGGUAGAGCAACAGGCUUUUAACCUGUGUAAUAUGGGUUCAAAUCCCAUCAAGUCCU